UACGAAGGGGGCUAGCGUUGCUCGGAAUCACUGGGCGUAAAGCGCACGUAGGCGGACUCUUAAGUCGGUGGUGAAAUCCUGGAGCUCAACUCCAGAACUGCCUUCGAUACUGGGAGUCUCGAGUCCGAGAGAGGUGAGUGGAACUGCGAGUGUAGAGGUGAAAUUCGUAGAUAUUCGGAGGAACACCAGUGGCGAAGGCGGCUCACUGGCUCGGUACUGACGCUGAGGUGCGAAAGCGUGGGGAGCAAACAGG
This 253-nucleotide ribosomal RNA is filed under the name uncultured bacterium. RNAcentral describes it as "partial 16S ribosomal RNA". It matches the Rfam family "Bacterial small subunit ribosomal RNA", at positions 524 to 776 of the family's 1533-position model. The record is from RNAcentral.